GCGCGAAAACUUCUACAAUGCAGGCAACUGCGAUAGGGGGACAUCGAGUGGCAUCCACCUUGGGUGCCUGUCCAACCGUCUAAAAAACGGUUGUUAGCAAGGGCCGGGUAAGACCGGUGCCAGCCGCCGCGGUAAUACCGGCGGCUCGAGUGGUGGCCGAUAUUAUUGAGUCUAAAGGGUCCGUAGCCGGCUUUGCAAGUCCCCUGGGAAAUCCAGCGGCUUAACCGUUGGGCUUUCAUGGGAUACUACAUUGCUUGGGACUGGGAGAGGUAGGAGGUACUCGGGGGGUAGGG
Molecule: ribosomal RNA, 293 nt
Filed under: uncultured archaeon
Lineage: Archaea
Description: partial 16S ribosomal RNA
Rfam family: Archaeal small subunit ribosomal RNA
Source: RNAcentral